AUCCCACGAUGAGGACACUUACCAAGUAACUCCUCAAUCGCUCCCAAGCCUCAUACAAAAACUCGUCAUCCAAUUGUUGGAAAGUUGUGAUCUCGUUCCUCAACUU
RNAcentral lists this small nucleolar RNA (106 nucleotides) under Gossypium hirsutum (cotton). Its description in RNAcentral is "Plant small nucleolar RNA R71". It matches the Rfam family "Plant small nucleolar RNA R71". Rfam says of the family: R71 is a member of the C/D box family of snoRNAs containing the C (UGAUGA) and D (CUGA) box motifs. The record is from Rfam by way of RNAcentral. Lineage: Eukaryota; Viridiplantae; Streptophyta; Magnoliopsida; Malvales; Malvaceae.